GCCGGCCCGACAUCUCUGUCCCGGGAGCCGCGAGCAGGCGCGGCCCAGGCCCGGGCGGGCCGGGGGCGGGGGCGCCGCCGAGGACUGCGGGGAAAAUAAAAAUGGAGCAGGGAAAUGCGCGAGUCCUGGGGCAUGGGGAUGGGGACGGGAAGUGCAUUGACAGAGCCUAGACAAAGGAAAAAUCCUCGAGUAUGCCGAAAAAUAACAUCUUUUCCUGUUCCCAUUGCCCGGCUGUGUGUGAUUGAUGCUUUUUGGGUGACUCAAAAGUGACUGGUUUCACUUAGUGGAAACAAAGCGCUUGGGGAUUGGAUGCCGUUUGACGGGACCCCUCUCAGAGACUUGCUUGGGACGGGACUUGGACUUGUCCAGCCAUAGUGGCCUCAGGGGGCGGAUUGUUGGGGGAGACUUUGGGCUUCCGUCUAGUGGGACCCAGCCUGCCCCUAUUCGGAAUCAUCAUCACCGUCGAGGACUAGAUAGAGGCGAAGGGUGUCCGAGUCUGGCGAGGAGGGUCUUGGUCUUGAACUCAGGCUGGGAGGCUGUAGUUGAGGGGAGAGCUGGGACCAGUUCCCUGGUCACUGGCCGAGGGGUGAGGAGACCUGUGGGUCCUCGGGAAAGUUGGUUUCUGUCUCCAGCCUUCUCUGUCAAACAGGGCUUUGAACUAAUUGUAGCUCCCAAACCUGCAUUACAGUCAUAACCAUUAAACAGUGUUCUGGCCCCACCCCCCACCCUUGAGUGAUUUGAGAGAUGGGGAAUUUGUAUUGCCAAAAGGCCCCAAGAGGCUUGGCUGCAAUCCUCAUGGCCCUCGGGAACCCCUGCAGUGAUUGCUUUUUGAAUUAGAGUUCCAGGAUUCUGAGCCCUUGUGUGCGCCUCCUUGGGAUGUGCCUGGGUGCCCUCCCCACAGCCAUCUUCUCCAUCCUCUUCAGAGCUUUCAGCCUCUUGAGUGAGGGCAGGGGAGCUCCCUUCACAUUCCAGUCCAGAGUGAUCUGGUUGUAGUCACUCCUGUCGCAGAAGAACCCCUUAGACCGAAAACGUUGCUUUGAAGUGAACGGGCCCGGUUGUUUUUAAUGCCACUUCAGUGCACCCAGAGUUUGACUUGUUUACAUGGCCAACUGGAGUAGGGUGGUGGGGCAGGGGUUAUGGCCUGGGGCGUGGGGCCUUUCUCUGAGGUCAGGUUUCCAACCGCCAGGAAAAGGAUUAUUUUCAUCUAAACCCAGAAGCUUAAGGAAACACUCAAGGCUGCAAAGUCAUAGAUGGUUAAGAUACCAAGGGUUUUAGGGAAGGUCUACUUGGGACGGGUAGAACUCAGUUACUCAGUUACCUCGGUGUUCUGGAGUGUAAAGGAGACCUUGACUCAUCUCAUUUGGAUGCUUUUUUGGGGGGAAACAGUUUAUGUGAUGAGGAGGAGUUGGGAGACUUUGCUUCAAGUGUUGGGCUGUCACUUUCACCCGUGUGACCUUGAACAAAUCCCUUUACCUCUAUUUAAAUUUCCUUAUCUGUAAAUUGGGAAUCCAGGUCCCUGGCUUACCUCCUUCACUGACCAUUUAUGAAAAGCAGGAAAUGAUAUUUUAUUAUUUUUCCCUUACAGUUUAACAAACCAAAAUAUCCUGCCACUUUUAGAAAUUUCUGGUCAAGGGUUGUUCUGACAGAGGUUUCUAAGUUUCCUGGUUAUUCUAAGCAAUUGUCAAAAUUGGUAACUGUACACCUCACAGGGGCUGUUUGUGGAUUCUUAAGCUUAGAUAAACUAGAAUGGAAUCUGCAUGUUUGAGUACAAUCUGCUAAGUUUUUUUUUUAAAUCUGUUGAUUAUUAAUUGGAUUUACUGGGGGAGGCAAACUUAAAAUACUGUACUCUCACUGUGUUCAAAGUUGAAUUGCGGGUUUUGAAACAGGCCUGAGACCUUCAGGGCACAACUGGAAUGGUAGUUUCUGAAAUAAUGAGUGGGGUUAUUUGUGCUGGGAGAGAUUAGCCCAGCCUUCUACCUCCUGGAAUCUUUCAGGAAGAAACUGCUCUUGAAAAGAGAGGAGGGAGACUCAGGGCUGUUGCCAACAGCCUUCUUUGCUGCUCUCUGCAUCCGGCCCUCCCCCAGCUUCUCACUCUCAUCCUUAUGGCUCCAUUAGAAAACCUCAACCAAUCGGUUCCCAUCAGUCUCCCCCAAGCCCCUGCUUCCUGCCCCUCCCAGCCUUGAGCUUAUUUUAGAUGGUCAAAGCUGGAAGAUACAUCAGCCACCAUUGAGGCCACCCUUGUUUAAGGGGAGAGGAUACUGGGCCCAGGGAGGUGAUGAGCGGCCUUGGCUGGCUUUUGCUCUUGAGAUGUCAUCUUCCCAGGAGCAGGCAUUUCUCUGAGCUUUCUGGUUUGAGCUUUAUUUCCUCAGCUGUGGGUUUUGUUUGUUUGUUUUUCCUCUAGAGAGGCACAGAAACCUCUUGCAGGGACUGUGUCAUGUCAUGGAAGCACUGUGGCUCUUGCGUGUGGCCGUGUGCUGCUGUCUGAGUGCCAGCUUUCCCACGCCCUGCCUCUUUUCCUUGGUGGCAUAGUGUACACAGUGGUAUAACUGGAGACUUUGACUCAAGAGAAAGGAGAAAUACAAGUUGGAUUCAGCCAUGUGAGGGUACAGCCCUGGCUCAUGUCUCCUUGCUCCUCAGAGUGCUGAUCAUACAUCACUGCUGGAUGCUGACCAGUAUCGUCCUAAUGACCUGGGAGCUCCGAGUGUGGGAGGCAGAGGUGCAGCCUGGCUCGCCCAGGUCUUGGCUGGGAGGGCAAGCACCUUCCAGCAGCACUCAGAGCUGUUAGGGAGCAGUUACCUUUUCAGCUGGGUGUGAGUGACUAAUAAGUGAUGUACCCGUUGACUCAUUCACAUGUUUUACUUAUUUGGUCAUUGGAGCCCAGCUUUGUAUUUGGUGCUUUGCUGGAUGAGGCUGGAUUCUUGUCCCCAGCGAUUAGAUGUGGUGUUGUGAGAGGGAACGACACAUUUGGCCUGGGGCCGGUUAGCGUUCUUGAAGAAGGUGUGGGAUUUUGAGGGGGCUGUGUAUGGGACAGUCAGUCACCUUAUUCCAUGGAAUAGAAGAUGUUUGUGUAUGCGAGGUGAGGGCAUGGGACCCUAGUGGGGUGGCAGGAUGUGAUGAGAUAAGAAGGGGGAGACCCACCUGUCUACAUUGACUGAGGGCUGCCCUGUUCGGUGCCAGAUUGCGCAAUGUGUCUGACCACCUUUCUCCCCGUCCACUGCUGUCUGAGGGCAGUUGAGUCCAAGUGGACAGGAAACCCGAGCUAACCACCUGUUAGAGAUCCUGUCACCGACUGUUCCUCCUCUUGGAGCCACAUACAGGCCACAUGGAGUUAGAGCCAAGCAUGUAAUGUGGGCUGGUUGUUAUGGGGUGGCUGUGUCCAGAGGACAUCUGGGAAGUGUCAACAUUGGCAGCUUGAUAACACCCAGAAGAGCAUGCUGGGAUGUUUCUCCGUCCUUUGCCCCUGGCCACCCAUUUGGGGCAGUUGGACAACUCAGAGUUGAGACAGUUGGGCUCUUCCUGACAUGCAUCCCAGAUCUGGCUGGGAAGGGUGGUGAAGGGAAAGUGCAAAAGAACUCCUGAGAGAGGAAAUGUCUGUGGCCUCCAGGGAAGCAGCUGGAGAGGCCAGCAGAGCAUACAUGGUACAGCUCAAGGCCAUGGCAGGCCGGUGCCCUGGAGGAGACCCAUGGCCAUCCAACUUAGACCCCUGAGGACUGACUACAGAGGCCACAGUGGUAGCUGGGUUUUGUUUUUCCUUUUUUACUAAACUUCUUAUGUUGCAAUAAUUGUGUUUCCCCUGUGGUUAUAGGAAAUAACAAAAAUCCCAUGUACUCCUUUGCCCAGGUCCUCCAAUGGUGACCUGCAACACUGUGGUAGGGCACCACAGCUGGGAUACUGGCUACAAUGCACAGAGUACCCAGCGUCUCCAUCGCCUUCUCCCUCCCACAUCACCCCAGCCCCAGCCACCCAGGAAUUCUUCUCAAUUUCCAUAAAUUGGACAUUUCCAAAAAUCUUAUGUGAAGAGAAUCAUACAACCUAGAACCUCUGAGAUUGGCUUUUUUCAUUCAGAAUUCUCUGGUGAGUCAUCCAGGUCGUUGCUUGGAUCAGUAGUUGGCUCCUUUUUAUUGUUGACUCGCAUUCCAUGAUACAAGGGACACCUAGGCUGUUUCCAAUUUGGGGCUAUUAUGAACAAAGUUGCUAUAACCAUUCACAUGCAGUUUUUGUGUGAGUGCAUUCUCUGAAAUAAAUAUCCAGGCGUGCAGUUCCUAGGUUGUAUGGUAGUUGCAUGUUUAGUUUUUUAAGAAACUGCCAAACUGAUUCCCACCAGCAGUGUAUGAGUGAUAUGAGUGAUGUACUUACCUUGUGACCUUGCCAGCAUUUGGUGUUGUCACCAUUUGUUUUUUUAGCCAUCUGAUAGGAGCAUAGUAACAUCUCGUGUGGUUUUAAUUUGCUUUUCCCCUAUAGCUUUGGUGUUGAACACCUUUUUAUGCUAUUUAUCUUCUGUGGAAAGUCUUCUCGUGUCUUCUCUCCAUAUUCUAAUUGGAUUGUUUUGUGUUUUUACAGUUGAGUUUUGAGGGUCUUUAUAUAGUCUAAAUACUAGUAUACAGUCUAGAUACUAGUCCUUUGUCAGAUACGUCGUUUGCAAAGUAUUUUAUCCUACUUGGUGGCUGAUCUUUUCGUCUUCCUUAGCAGGACUUUGUGCAGAGCAAAAGUUUUAAAUUUUAAUGAAGUCCAAUUUAUCAAUUUAGAUUUGUUCCAUUUUGUGUCUUUUUUUUUUUUGUAUAACAUUACUUUUUGUAUCAGCUUGAAGCAUUUUUUGUUUUUUUGCCUAUGGACAAACUGUCACUCUAGCACCAUUUGUUGAAAGGCCGUUUUUCCUCCAUCGAAUUCCUUCUGCACUUUUGUCAAAAUUGGGCAUACUGUGUUGGUUUAUUGCUAGCCUCUGUUCCGUUGAUCCAUGUGUCUGAGUUUCCACUAAUACCACACAGUCUUCAUUACUGUGGAUAUAUAAUAAGUCUUAUAAUUUAGUAAAUAGAUUAUAUCCUCUUCAUUCCUUUUUAAUUAAAAAUAUUCUAGUUCAUUUGCCUUUCCUUGUAAAUUAUAGAAUAAUCUUAUCCAUAUCUAUAAAAAAUCUUGCUGGGAUUUUGAUAGGAAUUGUAUUAAACUGAAUAUCAGUUGGGUGAGAAUUGACAUCUUACAAUCUUCCAGUGCAUAAACACAUUAUGUCUCUCCAUUUAUUUAGAUCUUCUUUGAUUUCUCUAAUCAGUGUUGCGUAGUGUGCAGCAGUUCCUGUACAUGUUGUGUGAUAUUUCUUUUUUUUAAUUUUAAGCAAUUGUAAGUGACAUUGUAUUUUAAUUUCAGUGUCCGUGUGUCCAUUGCUAGCAUAUA
This is a long non-coding RNA of Sapajus apella (tufted capuchin), 5385 nucleotides long. RefSeq lists it as uncharacterized. Lineage: Eukaryota; Metazoa; Chordata; Mammalia; Primates; Cebidae. The record is from RefSeq and is a predicted model, not a curated record. The transcript has 3 exons.